GCUCGUUCUGCAGUGCAGAUGCUGAAGCUGGAUGUAAAGAGACAAUCAGCACGGCCCCUGCACAAAGGUGACAUGAACAUUUAUAAAGUGUUCCAUGGGUUU
Small nuclear RNA from Grammomys surdaster, 102 nucleotides. The record is from RefSeq and is a predicted model, not a curated record. Lineage: Eukaryota; Metazoa; Chordata; Mammalia; Rodentia; Muridae.